Long non-coding RNA from Penaeus indicus, 195 nucleotides. RefSeq lists it as uncharacterized. The transcript is spliced from 2 exons. The record is from RefSeq and is a predicted model, not a curated record. NCBI's taxonomy places the organism in Eukaryota, Metazoa, Arthropoda, Malacostraca, Decapoda, Penaeidae.
CGGAUACAGGCCGGCGUACUGGUGAAAAGUGUGAGAUGCUCCUGUUAGAUGCUGCCCAUGGAUUCUGUCUUCAGUAACACGAUGGGUAAUGAGAUUUUAGGGAAAAAAUAAAACGAGGGUAAGACAGCCAGCUCUUCCUCUUGUUUAUAUUUUUUUCCGGUUUGUCUAGCCGGUCUCUGUCUUGAUUACAAUAAA